Marchantia polymorpha subsp. ruderalis is the source of this 240-nucleotide non-coding RNA. The record is from the annotation of a GenBank genome assembly. NCBI's taxonomy places the organism in Eukaryota, Viridiplantae, Streptophyta, Marchantiopsida, Marchantiales, Marchantiaceae.
UCCUGGGGUUUCAACCCGAAUCGCAUGGAAAGACCUCCCCAGAUUCAGUGGGGAGCAUUUCCAUGCCUGGAAGAGCAAGAUCAGUUUAAUCCUUCAACUGGAAGGACUGAUGGGCAUCAUGGAAGGGACCGAAGUUCUUCCAGUUGAAGGAUGAAACUGAUCUUGCUCUUCCAGGCAUGGAAAUGCUCCUUACUGAAUCUGGGGAGGUCUUUCCAUGCGAUUCGGGUUGAAACCCCAGGA